UUGCCCAUGUUCUGUCUCUUAACUAUUCUAAAGCAAAUUAAUCUUAGAUCAAUGUGCAACGGACCCUUAUCUAAAAUAUACUUGUAGCCUACCAAGUUUAGUAAGUCAGCUCUCCCCCUGCCCUCCCGCCCCCCCUCCCAUUACAGCAGCUAUCUCUUUGAUAUUUCCUUGUAAACGUGAGCACAACAUUACAUUUUGGUGAACCACUUCUUCUUUUCAGGGAAGUAAGAAAAUUGCUUCUGGCAUCUUACCGUGUUGUGUGGAUUCGCGUGAGUGUCUGACUCAUUUUUACCUCCCAAGAGAGCCCCGUGAGCGUGUCACCAGGCAGGCAGAAGGGAAGAAAUGAGGCACAUGGCCUUCAUGCUGAUGAUCCUGGAGAAGGAAAAUGUGUAGGCUUGCUCCAUGCUUUCGUUCUCUGAGAGUGCUGAGUGGGGGCUUCAAGAAAUACUGUGUAUUCUCAUCUCUCCCACCAUUUCCCAUCACACCCUGAGGGAGAGGUGAACAGAUUCCACUAAUAAAAAUG
Long non-coding RNA from Dipodomys ordii (Ord's kangaroo rat), 523 nucleotides. RefSeq lists it as uncharacterized. The record is from RefSeq and is a predicted model, not a curated record. NCBI's taxonomy places the organism in Eukaryota, Metazoa, Chordata, Mammalia, Rodentia, Heteromyidae. The transcript has 3 exons.